This 430-nucleotide ribosomal RNA is filed under the name uncultured bacterium. RNAcentral's name for it is "bacterial SSU rRNA". It matches the Rfam family "Bacterial small subunit ribosomal RNA", at positions 355 to 776 of the family's 1533-position model. The record is from RNAcentral.
UGGGGAAUUUUCCGCAAUGGGCGAAAGCCUGACGGAGUGACGCCGCGUGGGGGACGAAGGCCUUCGGGUCGUAAACCCCUGUCAGAGGGAAAGAAGGGUCGCCGACCUAACACGUCGGUGAUCUGACGGUACCUUCAGAGGAAGCCCCGGCCAACUCUGUGCCAGCAGCCGCGGUAAGACAGAGGGGGCAAGCGUUGCUCGGAAUCACUGGGCGUAAAGGGCGCGUAGGCGGGAUGGCAAGUCAGUCGUGAAAUCUCUCGGCUCAACCGAGAAACGUCGGCUGAUACUGCCGUUCUUGAGGGAUGCAGAGGAGACUGGAAUUCCCGGUGUAGCGGUGAAAUGUGUAGAGAUCGGGAGGAACACCGGUGGCGAAGGCGGGUCUCUGGGCAUUUCCUGACGCUGAGGCGCGAAAGCGUGGGGAGCAAACGGG